RNAcentral lists this ribosomal RNA (369 nucleotides) under uncultured organism. RNAcentral's name for it is "bacterial SSU rRNA". It matches the Rfam family "Bacterial small subunit ribosomal RNA", at positions 526 to 896 of the family's 1533-position model. The record is from RNAcentral.
CGUAGGUGGCAAGCGUUGUCCGGAUUUAUUGGGUUUAAAGGGUGCGUAGGCGGUCAUGUAAGUCAGUGCUGAAAUAUCCCGGCUUAACCGGGAGGGUGGCAUUGAUACUGUAUGACUUGAGUAAAGUUGAGGUUGGCGGAAUUGACGGUGUAGCGGUGAAAUGCUUAGAUAUCGUCAAGAACACCUAUUGCGAAGGCAGCUAACUAAGCUUUAACUGACGCUGAGGCACGAAAGUGUGGGGAUCAAACAGGAUUAGAUACCCUGGUAGUCCACACUGUAAACGUUGAUUACUCGCUGUUGGCGAUACACAGCCAGCGGCUUAGCGCAAGCGAUAAGUAAUCCACCUGGGGGAGUACGCCGGCAACGGUG